UGGCUCAGUUGGUAGAGCAUGGUGUUUGCAAUGCCAGGGUUGUGGGUUCAAUUCCCAC
Non-coding RNA from Salmo salar (Atlantic salmon), 58 nucleotides. NCBI's taxonomy places the organism in Eukaryota, Metazoa, Chordata, Actinopteri, Salmoniformes, Salmonidae. The record is from Rfam.